AGUUUGAUCAUGGCUCAGAUUUAACGCCGCGAUGCUUUACACAUGCAAGUCGAACGCGUUAAUGGAUUCAGUCUGGUGGCGAGUGGCGAACGGGGUGAGUAAUGUAUCGGAACGCCUAGUAGCGGGGAUAACUACGCGAAAGCGUAGCUAAUACCGCACACCCUUCGGGGAAAGCGGGGACCUUCGGGCCUCGCACUAUUAGAGCGGCCGAUAUCGGAUUAGCUAGUUGGUGGGGUACUGCUCACCAAGGCGACGAUCCGUAGCUGGUUUGAGAGGACGACCAGCCACACUGGGACUGGAGACACGGCCCAGACUCCCACGGGAGGCAGCAGGGGGAAUUUUGACAUAUUUUGGGGGAAACCCUUGAUCCAACCAUCCCGCGUGUGCGAUGAAGGCCUUCGGGUUGUAAAGCACUUUGGCAGGAAAAGAACGGCACGGGAUAAUACCCCGUGCAACUGACGGUACCUGCAGAAUAAGCACCGGCUAACCACGUGCCAGCAGCCGCGGUAAUACGUAGGGUGCAAGCGUUAAUCGGAAUUACUGCUGUAAAGCGUGCGCAGGCGGUUCGGAAAGAAAGAUGUGAACCCAGAGCUUAACUUUGGAACUGCAUUUUUAACUACCGAGCUAGAGUGUGUCAGAGGGAGGUGGAAUUCCGCGUGUAGCAGUGAAAUGCGUAGAUAUGCGGAGGAACACCGAUUAAGCAAGGCAGCCUGGGAUAACACUGACGCUCAUGCACGAAAGCGUGGGGAGCAAACAGGAUUAGAUAUUCUGGUAGUCCACGCCCUAAACGAUGUCAACUAGCUGUUGGGGCCUUCGGGCCUUGGUAGCAGCCAAUCAGUGAAGACCGCCUGGGGAGUACGGUCGCAAGAUUAAACUCAAAGGAAUUUUCGAUUUGGGACCCGCACAAGCGGUGGAUGAUGUGGAUUAAUUCGGAUGCAACGCGAAAACCUUACCUACCCUUGACAUGUCUGGAAUCCUGAAGAGAUUGGGAGUGCUCGCAAGAGAACCGGAACACAGGUGCUGCAUGGCUGUCGUCAGCUCGUGUCGUGAGAUGUUGGGUUAAGUCCCGAAACGAGCGUAACCCUUGUCAUUAUUGCUACGAAAGGGCACUCUAUCGAGACUGCCGGUGACAAACCGGAGGAAGGUGGGGAUGACGUCAAGUCCUCAUGGCCCUUAUGGGUAGGGCUUCACACGUCAUACAAUGGUCGGGACAGAGGGUCGCCAACCCGCGAGGGGGAGCCAAUCCCAGAAACCCGAUCGUAGUCCGGAUCGCAGUCUGCAACUCGACUGCGUGAAGUCGGAAUCGCUUGCAAUCACGGAUCAGCAUGUCGCGGUGAAUACGUCCCCGGGUCUUGUACACACCGCCCGUCACACCAUGGGAGUGGGUUUUACCCAGAAGUAGUUAGCCUAACCCGUAAGGAGUGGCGAUUACCACGGUAGGAUUCAUGACUGGGUGAAGUCGUAACAAGGGUAA
This 1474-nucleotide ribosomal RNA is filed under the name uncultured Bordetella sp. RNAcentral describes it as "partial 16S-23S ribosomal RNA intergenic spacer". It matches the Rfam family "Bacterial small subunit ribosomal RNA". Lineage: Bacteria; Pseudomonadati; Pseudomonadota; Betaproteobacteria; Burkholderiales; Alcaligenaceae. The record is from RNAcentral.